AAAUUUUAAAAUUAUGCAAAUAUAGACGAAGGUAUUGUCUAACUAGUAUUUGUAUUUGAAUAAAUAUAUUUAAGAUUAUUAUGAUGAAGUAAUAAUUAAAUUUAUUAUAAAUUAUUUUCUAAUUUUUUUCUUAUUUGACGGUCGACGGAAAUUAGGUUUUGUCAAGAUUUAACACAACGCUCGAGAUAGUUGUCGUCACAUAUUUAACAAAAAAAUAGAUGAGAUAAAUAAGUAAGGAAAGCAUAUUCUCGAAUAGUAAUUUUCACGAAUCACUAAACGAGGUUACACCGACUUUAACUAUUUAUCACAUGAGUGAGCUAUGAUAAAUAAAAUUUGUAUUGUGGUUGUAUUAUUCGAUUAAUUGCCAAAAUGUAACGACAACAUCGUGAGCUAUUAAGUUUAAGAUCCCCAGUCACAAAAGGGAAGUGUCGUACAUUGAAUAGCUGUAUUUGGUAGGGUUCUGGCUAAGGAAAAAUUUGGUAAACUAUGUCCUUUACAGUUGCCUAUCUUUUUUGGGAAGUCAACCAUACAUUGUUUACUGUACAAGCUGAACUUACCGUGAGGUUUGUGUGAGGUGAGAAUUAAAAUAAUGUAUUUUUGGAGAUUAAAGUACUACCAAGCAGGUUUUCAGGAUCUGAAUGGCAGUCCAUAUAUAUUUGCAUUUAGGGAUGUAUAAUUCCACCGCCGUGUGUAUGGCGCACGAGGUUGAUCAACUACCUGAAUCCUGACGAGGAUUAUUACCUUGCACUUAGCAAGAUAAAAAAAUCUUGUCCUAUUUUUUUAAGGGCGAUCAGGAUUAUUACCUUGCACUUAGCAAGAUAAAGAAAUCUUGUCCUGUUUUUUUAAGGGCGAUCGACUUAUAACACUUACAUUCCAUGUGAAGUCAGGUGCCAUUUGCUCUUGGUAAAUGGAAGAACGUUGAUGGCAGGUGGUCUCAGAUGGACGGACAGUUCUUAACCCUUUUCAGGAUAGCAGCGGGUCAAAGAGUAUGGGGCACACUUUAGAUUCAGUACCACGAUGGCGACAAGGACGAAGGAAGAUGGAGAAUAGAUGCUACUACUAAUACUCUCACUCUUACGGGCCUAGUGACUUAUAUCUACUGAAGUCCUGGGAUGUUUGAUGCUUUCUUUACUGCUCUUGUCCAAAUAACUCAGACAUUACCAUUCCACUGUAUUUGGGAGAGCCAUCACCACUUUAAUGAGCCGACGCCACAGAACCUAGGAAGAAGACAUGUAUGUCGGGAUGCUCGUGCUUACCGUCGUCUAUUUGGCCAGGUUUACCGUGGGCGAGGCUGUGGACUUGGAUUCAGACAAGUGCCAAGAGAUCAACCGGCUUCGAUCGAGGAUUCAACUAUUUCAUCUUAUCACCUAGGUGACCCCUAGACAUUUGUCUCGAUGGAGGUAGAAUGACGACUCUUUUGGAUAGGGAAACAUUUUGUUUGUACAGCCAGUAUAGUGUCUAUCUUUUUGUUUGGCCGAUCGUCGCCAUCUUUUGUGGAUACUCUUGGAUUAGUCUGGGAGCUUUAGUUUGUUUUUUUGGUGUGGCGCUGCCACAGUAAACUAUAUCAUGACUAUAUACAUAGGUUAUAUGUAUAUGUAUGAAGUAUGUUUGCUUUUAUGUUACCUUUUUGUUUUAAAUUUGA
Long non-coding RNA from Vicia villosa (hairy vetch), 1642 nucleotides. RefSeq lists it as uncharacterized. The record is from RefSeq and is a predicted model, not a curated record. Lineage: Eukaryota; Viridiplantae; Streptophyta; Magnoliopsida; Fabales; Fabaceae. The transcript has 2 exons.